Molecule: long non-coding RNA, 3271 nt
Filed under: Papio anubis (olive baboon)
Lineage: Eukaryota; Metazoa; Chordata; Mammalia; Primates; Cercopithecidae
Description: lncRNA (ENSPANG00000045104.1)
Source: RNAcentral
AUGGGUGCAGGUGCACAGACAAAACACCACGUGUGGACACAGAGAGAAGGCGGCCACCUGCAGGCCAAAAAGAGAAGCCUCCGCAGAAACAAGCCUCCGUGUGCUUUGAUCUCCGACUCGCAGCCUCAGACCUGGGAGAAAACGACCAUCUGUUGUCGAAGCCCCAGGCUGUGCUAUUUUGUUCUGGCAACCGGAGGAAAUUCCUACAGAUAUGUUCACAGACGGCCCUGGCACUCCCAGGCCCAUGCCCAGGGUGAAACCUCCAGGAAACCCAAGCCCAGCGCGACCUCCCAGUCACAGGUGAAGGGCUGCCUGGCUGGCUGCUGCCCACACAGGCUCACAGCUCACAGGGAGCCCGGUCUGAAGCCCCAUCCGCUCAGAGGCGCCUUCUCCAGAAAGCCCGAGGGAAGAUGCCACCACCGCAGCUCUUCACACCGCUGUCCCUCUCUGAGCUCCAGCCUCACCCCAUCCAGGACAGAGUUACACUCAGGCCGGAGUGCAGGGCCCAGGACCAAGGCUCCCUGCAGCGUUGACCUCCCGGGCUCCAGGAUCUGUCUUCCCACCUCAGCUUCCUGAUGAGCUGAAACUACAGGUGAGUGCCCACCGCUCGCGCUUUCUCUCUCUCUCUCUCUUUUUUAAGAGAUGGAGUUUCACCAUGUUGCCCAGGCCCCAGGCUGCAUUUCUUGUUGGUAGAUAUUUGGGCUUGCUUCAGGUUUUUUUUCUUUUUCUUUUUCUUUUUAUUUUUUUGCAAUUAUGGAUAAUGCUGCUACGAACUUGUGUGCACAAGUCUUCAUGGAUAUAUGCUUUUGGUAAAUGCCUAGGAGUAGAACUUCUGGUCGCAGAAGAUGUGUAUGUUUAGUUGGAAAAAAAAAAAAAAAAAAAAAAACUUUUGGCCGAGCGCCGUGGCUCACGCCUGUUAUCCCAGCACUUUGGGAGGCUGAAGCGGGCGGAUCACAAGGUCAGGAGAUCGAGACCAUCCUGGCAAACAGGGUGAAACCCCGUUUCUACUAAAAAUACAAAAAAAUUAGCCGGGCGUGGUGGCGGACUACAGGGUCGCAGCUAUUCGAGAGGCUGAGGCAGGAGAAUGGUGUGAACCCGGGAGGCAGAGGUUGCAGUGAGCCGAGAUCGCGCCACUGCACUCCAGCCUGGGCGACAGAACCAGACUUUGUCUCAAUUAAAAAAAAAAAAACAAAAAAAAAAACAAAAAAAAAACUUUUGCCACAAAGUGGUUGUACUAGGUUGUACUAUUUUCCUCCAUCAACAAUGUCCAAGCAUUCUGGUUAUUUUUUUUAAAUUCUAGAUGUUCUUGUGGAUAUGUAGCAUUUUCCUAUGGUUUACAUUUGCAUUUAGCUGAUGAGGGAUAACGAUGUGCACAUUUUCAUGUGUUUAUGGACCAUUUGUUUAUCUUCCUUUGUGAAGUAUCUCUUCAAAUAUUUUGUCCAUUAAACAAACAAUCCCCCCCACCCCCUCCACCGCCAGUAAAAGAACUGGCCUGGAUAGUGGCUCAGCUUGUAAUCCCAACACUUUGGGAGGCUGAGGUGGGCGGAUCCCCUGAGCUCAGGAGUUUGAGACCAGCGUGGGCAACAUGGCAAAACCUGGUAGUCCACCUGUAAUCCCAGUUACCCUACUGGGGAGGCUGAGGUGGGAGGAUCGCUUGAGCCUGGGAGGCGGAGGUUUCAUUGGGCCAAAUUUGCGCCACUGCACUCCAGCCUGGGUGACACAGUGAGACCCUGUCACACACACACACACACACACACACACACACACAGAGAACUGAGUGGUUUAAACUGUAUAAUUUCAACACUUUGGGAAGCUGAGGCAGGGAGGAUCCCUGGAACUCAGGAGUUCUAUGAGACCCCAUCUGUACAAAAAAUAAAAAUAAAAAAUUAGCUGAGCGUGAUGGCCUGGGCCUGUAAUCCCUGCUACUUGGGAGGCUGAGGCAGGAGAAUCGCUUGAACCUGGAAGGCAGAGGUUACAGUGAGCUGAGAUCAUACUCCAGCCUGGGUGACAGGGUGGGACUCCAUCAAAAAAAAAAAAAAAAAAAGACACUCUUCUGUGUGUUUUUUUUUCCUGAAACUUUUAAAUUUUAGCUUCUAUGUUUAAGUGUAAAUUCUAUUUUAUAUAACUUUUUUGUUAUAUAUAUAGCCACAUUUCAAUUGUUAUAUGUUACAAAAUACUCCAAUUGAUUUUUCAACCUGUACUUUUUGCCUUUACCCACACACAGCCAGUCCAAAGAAUACAUAUUUAUAUAACUUUUUUGUUUUGGUGUGAGGUUGGGAUUAAUGUUAAUUUCUUUCCCCUAUGGUUGUUUCUGAACCAUUUGUUGCAAAGACUUUCCUUUCCAUGUUGAAUUGUUUUGGUGCCUUUGGUGAAAAUCAAAUAACUGUGUAUUUGUGGGCCCAAAUUAUGUUUUUGUUCAUUUUUGCUUUUCAAUUAAAAAUUUCAAAUAGGCCAGACAUGGUGGCUCACUCUUGCGAUCCCAACACUUUCGGUGGCCAAAGCAGGCAGAUCACUUGAGCUCACAAGUUGAAGACCAGCCUGGGCAGUAUAGCAAAACCCAUCUCUACAAAACAUAAAAAAUUGGCCGGGCAUGGUAGUGUGCACCUGUGGUCCCAGAUACUCGGGUUACCUGGGAGGCUGAUGUGGGAGGAUCGCUUGAGACUGGGAGGCAGAGAUUGCAGUGAGCCAAGAUGGUGCCACUGCACUCCAGCCUGGGUGACAGAGUGAGACCCUGUCACAAACAAACAAACAAACAAAAUAUAAAAAUAAAAUAAACCGCCGUAACAAAGAGACCUCAAAUACCAUAGCUUAAAUUAGAAAUUAAAUAAAAGUUAUUUAUCCCUUAAAAAAAUUCAAAUAGGCCAGGCAUAGUGGCCGCCCUGUGCAAUCCCAGUGCUUUGGUAGGCUGAGGCUGGAGAAUCACUUGAGGCCAGGAGUUGGAGACCAGCCUGGGCAACAUAGCAAGACCCCAUCUCUACAAGAAAAGGAGAAAAAGUUAGCUGGGCAUGCUGAUGCAUUCUUGUAGUCCCAGCUAGUUGGGAGGCAGAGGCAGAAGGAUUGCUUAAGCCCAGGAGUCUAAGGCUGCAGUGAGCUGUAAUCGCACCACUGCCCUGCAACCUGGGUGACAGAGUGAGGCCAUGUCUCCAAAAUAAAUAAAUAAAUAAAUAAAUAAAUAAAUAAAUAAAUUAAUGUUUAAAAAGAUUUUUAAUAUACCAGUCACAUGGAUGUUAGUAUAAUGAACAACUAUAAACGACCAAUAUUUCACAAUCAG